RNAcentral lists this ribosomal RNA (253 nucleotides) under uncultured bacterium. RNAcentral's name for it is "partial 16S ribosomal RNA". It matches the Rfam family "Bacterial small subunit ribosomal RNA", at positions 524 to 776 of the family's 1533-position model. The record is from RNAcentral.
UACGUAGGGGGCAAGCGUUAUCCGGAUUUACUGGGUGUAAAGGGAGCGUAGACGGCUUUGCAAGCCAGACGUGAAAGCCCGGGGCUCAACCCCGGGACUGCAUUUGGAACUGUGUGGCUAGAGUGUCGGAGAGGCAGGCGGAAUUCCUAGUGUAGCGGUGAAAUGCGUAGAUAUUAGGAGGAACACCAGUGGCGAAGGCGGCCUGCUGGACGAUGACUGACGUUGAGGCUCGAAAGCGUGGGGAGCAAACAGG